Molecule: long non-coding RNA, 1808 nt
Organism: Carassius gibelio (silver crucian carp)
Lineage: Eukaryota; Metazoa; Chordata; Actinopteri; Cypriniformes; Cyprinidae
Exons: 3
Source: RefSeq, a predicted model, not a curated record
UUUAAUAAGCUUUUUAAAUAAGGUUUCAGUCCAGUGUGACCUAAACGCACAUUUUCACUCCUUUCAAGUAAAAUAGCAGGCAAGCUAAUGUUAGGCCUAAAGUUAUCUGUUUUUUUCACUGAACUUCUAACGUUAGUUGUUUUAGUCUAUUUUUUUGUUUACAUAUGAUAUGACUAUUCUCCACUUCAUGUAAUGUUGUUUCAGAUCUUUAUUUCAUAUCAUAUUAAUUCAUAAUUAAUAAGUUACCAUGUGUGUAAAAAUGAGUAAGUGUGUGUGUGUGUGUGUGUUCUGUUGCAGCUUACAACUCAUUCAAGUGCCACCAGUGUGUUUUUGGAGUAUUUCUUCUUUCUAUUUCAUCUUUCAUUUGAGGAAAGUAAGAUUAAAAACUGUUUUAAACUUGAUUUUGUCAAAUACUGAUAAUGGUCCUCAACUACAGCUUUUAACGUGUAAUAAAUGUGCCAUUUCAAAAGAUUCAUACCAUUAUUUCUUACCAUAUUAAUUAAUAAUUAAUAAGUUACUGUUUGUGUUUGUGUUCUGUUGCAGCUUACAGCUCAUUCAAGUGCCACCAGUGUGUUUUUGGAGUAUUGCAUCUUUCGAUUUCAUCUUAAACGAACAUCUGAGUAAAGUAAGAUUAAAAACUGUUUUAAACUUCUUUAGCCAGCUAUUUUGUCAAAUACUGAUAAUUAGGGCUGGACGAUUAAUCAAAGUACUUGAAACCCGAAAUUCAGAACCUCUAACCGACGCAAUUGAUGUAAAACACAGAGACAGCGCACGAGCAGUGAGCCUUGCGUCUUCACUAAACUCUGUCAGUUGUAUGUGUUUUAUGGUUUAUGUGUAUUAGCCUAUGGUUUGCCAGUUUAGACAUUCAAACGAUUAUAUGAUCCGAUGUGUAUUAUAUCGAGCUCGGUGCUCAUGCUCAAUAAUUGAGGUAAAAUGUUUAAUUAAUUGAGGUUUUGAUUUUAGGUCAUAAUUGUCCAGCCCUACUUAUAAUGGUCCACACUACAACUUUUAACAUGUAAUACACGUGCCAUUUGAUUUCAAAAGAUUCAUACAAGGUUAAAAGUUUAGGCUGUUUCUUAGGUUGUGUUUGUUAUUGGAAAUGAGAUUUGCAUUAUAUAUAACACUGUGGAAAGCAGUGAUGGAGUGUACAUAGUAUACAAAGAAUUUUCAGAGAUGUUUUUGUUUAAAAACCUACUUUUUAGGUUUACAACCUACUUUGUUGGUUUCACUUUCAUGCAUCGGAUUUAAUCAGAAUAUCUUAAUUUGUGUUCCGAAGAUGAAUGAAGCCCUUACAUGUGUAGAACAACAUGAGGAUUUCUUCCCUUGCGACUGUUGGGGGCCAUGACACAAAACGUGUCACGUGGAAGUGGAACAUCCUUUCCCGCAUGUUCCAGGAUGACGUUGGGAGAAGGGUGUGAAUGGGGAAAAAAGCAUUCAGCCAGAUGGAGUCCAAGAAGUUCCUCCUGUGUGCUGUGAGAAAGAGCCAUGUAUCACGUGCCGCCACUGAUGAAGAAAUCACAAAACACACAAUACGGUGGUUCAGCCUGGCAGCUCAUAGGGGAAGCUCAAGGAACGUCCCACUGUGAGCACCCAGCAGUAGAGUUCUUCAGAGCUUCAUUGUUACCUUCGGUGUUUUGAACAGUUACAAUAAAAUAAAGGUACAAGGUUACUAUUUUAGAUAAAUGUUUUUUAAUUGUUUUGGUUUUUAUUCAAAGAAUCAACUUGUUUUUAUUUUUCUAUUAAAAGAAAAUUAAAUGAAAUCCAGUUUCUAAAAAAAAUAAAGAAAAUAAGCAGUACAACUGUUAACA